Molecule: ribosomal RNA, 466 nt
Filed under: uncultured bacterium
Lineage: Bacteria
Description: partial 16S ribosomal RNA
Rfam family: Bacterial small subunit ribosomal RNA
Source: RNAcentral
GAUGAACGCUGGCGGCGUGCUUAACACAUGCAAGUCGAACGGAAAGGCCCUGCUUGCCGGGUACUCGAGUGGCGAACGGGUGAGUAACACGUGGGUGAUCUGCCCUGUACUUUGGGAUAAGCCUGGGAAACUGGGUCUAAUACCGAAUAUGACAAUUGUUUGGAUGCGAUUGUGGAAAGCUUUUGCGGUAUGGGAUGAGCUCGCGGCCUAUCAGCUUGUUGGUGGGGUAAUGGCCUACCAAGGCGUCGACGGGUAGCCGGCCUGAGAGGGUGUACGGCCACAUUGGGACUGAGAUACGGCCCAGACCCCUACGGGAGGCAGCAGUGGGGAAUAUUGCACAAUGGGCGCAAGCCUGAUGCAGCGACGCCGCGUGGGGGAUGACGGCCUUCGGGUUGUAAACUCCUUUCGCAACCGACGAAGCCUUUUGGUGACGGUAGGUUGAGAAGAAGCACCGGCUAACUACGUG